GAUGAAGAACGUAGCGAAAUGCGAUAAGUAAUGUGAAUUGCAGAAUUCAGUGAAUCAUCGAAUCUUUGAACGCACAUUGCGCCCGCCAGCAUUCUGGCGGGCAUGCCUGUUCGAGCGUCAUUUCAACCCUCGAGCCCCCCCGGGGGCCUCGGUGUUGGGGGACGGCACACCAGCCGCCCCCGAAAUGCAGUGGCGACCCCGCCGCAGCCUCCCCUGCGUAGUAGCACACACCUCGCACCGGAGCGCGGAGGCGGUCACGCCAUAAAACGCCCAACUUUCUUAGAGUUGACCUCGGAUCAGGUAGGAAUACCCGCUGAACUUAAGCAUAUCAAUAAGCGGAGGA
Molecule: unclassified non-coding RNA, 343 nt
Filed under: soil metagenome
Description: partial contains 5.8S ribosomal RNA, internal transcribed spacer 2, and large subunit ribosomal RNA
Rfam family: 5.8S ribosomal RNA (bases 1-120)
Source: RNAcentral